ACACGUAGGGGGCGAGCGUUGUUCGGAAUCAUUGGGCGUAAAGGGCGUGCAGGCGGUCCUGCAAGUCCGGCGUGAAAGACCCCGGCCCAACCGGGGGGACGCGCUGGAAACUGCAGGGCUUGAGUACAGGAGGGGGUGCCGGAAUUCCAGGUGUAGGGGUGAAAUCUGUAGAUAUCUGGAAGAACACCAAUGGCGAAGGCAGGCAUCUGGCCAUGUACUGACGCUGAGACGCGAAGGUGCGGGGAGCAAACAGGUUUAGAUACCCUGGUAGUCCGCACAGUAAACGAUGUGCACCAGGUGGCGGGGGGUCGACCCCCGGUACCGUAGCUAACGCAUUAAGUGCACCGCCUGGGGAGUAUGCUCGCAAGGGUGAAACUCAAAUGAAUUGACGGGG
This 394-nucleotide ribosomal RNA is filed under the name uncultured bacterium. RNAcentral's name for it is "partial 16S ribosomal RNA". It matches the Rfam family "Bacterial small subunit ribosomal RNA", at positions 523 to 918 of the family's 1533-position model. The record is from RNAcentral.